This 3703-nucleotide long non-coding RNA is filed under the name Ananas comosus (pineapple). Its description in RNAcentral is "long non-coding RNA (ACOM_LNC041876)". The record is from RNAcentral. Lineage: Eukaryota; Viridiplantae; Streptophyta; Magnoliopsida; Poales; Bromeliaceae.
ACUCCACGGACUUAACCUCUCUUAACCUCCUAUGAAUCUUCGCCGCUACCCUCCGGGUUGUCCACGCCCUCACGUCCGAAUCCACGAACGCCUCCACUUCGAAUCCACGAAGCUUCAAUCACGCCGAAUCCACGACGCCACUCGAAUCCACGAGCCCACGAUCCGAAUCCACGAACCGCCGUCAAAUACGCCGAAUCCACGACGCCACCAUGAAGAAUAUCAUGAAUAUGGUGAUCCUUCGCUUUGGAGUAUCGUAGAAAACCAGGGAAUAGAACUCCAAGCGAAGCGGAGAUCAAAUCGACAUAUUAAUAUCAAGUUUCAAUAUCUCGAUUUGAUCUAAAAGAGGCUUUUUGUAGAAAAUAGGUUUUAGAUGAAAUCCGAGCCUCUAGGGUUUCUCAAAUAUGUAUUUUCAAGAUGCUUGAUAUGUUAGAGAAGCCCAAUAGCUUAUUUAUAGACUUUAGAAUCAAUUGAAGUCGGAUUAGAAAGUUUUCACGAUUUUACACUGUGUACCGGUACACUUUAGGCUGUCACCGGUUACACGAUGACGGAACGAAAAACCAGACGAAACAGUGAAACCGGUUACACCCUUGAUGGUCGUACCGGUACACAUUUUGUACCGGUACACUUCUGAUGCUGUACCGGUACACUUUGCAAAUUUUCGCCGUUUCGGGUUUUACAAAGUUCCGAUGCACUUUCUAAUCCGUUAGACAUUGAUAACAUGAUUCUAAUGUCUAUAACUAAGUAUGAAUCACCAUAACAUGAAUUUACACUUUACCUGAGCAUCGUGAUUCACGUCGUGGGAUGUUUUCUGACUUCUUCGAAAUCUUGAAUUUUUCGAUCUUCGACGAUACGCACUGGUUCUUCAAGACUCCGACUCACUUCACGAAACUUGCCAAUACACAAGACUUAACAAUCUCCCCCUUUGGCAAUUUCGUGAAAAAACACUCACCAAUUCAAAAAUUACAAUUUACAGAAAAAUGAAGUUCAAUUGUCAUCACCAAAACAUUGAACUCCUCGCGUGUAAUCCAAAUACAAUUUGAAACUCAAACUUACAUCAAGAACUCCUAAAACAGACUCUAUGACUUAGACACAACUAGGAGUCUUGAAGUCUUGAUUUCCUGCAAAACAAUUCAUUCAAAAACAUUCAAAAAUGAUUACCCUUAAAUUCUUAUACCUUCUCCCCCUUUUGUUCUUCACAUCUCGAUCACAUCUCCCCCUUUGUUCUUGAACUCAUCAUCCUCUGCUUAGUUCAUUGCCUGUUGUCAUCCAUGCUCUCCCCCUGUUCUACGUUCUCCCCCUUUUUGUCAAAAAUUGCCAAAAGAAAGCAAAUAGAGAGAGAAAACAUACUAGAAAGCAUAAAAGAAGUCUAGUCAUAGGUACAGGCCUAAAAUAAAAACAUGCCAAAGAAAGAUAAGCAAGCAAGUCUAAAACAUCAUCCUAGAAAGUAAGCAUAAUAAAGUAACAAGACAAAGCCCGAGGAAGACAUCACUCCGUGUCCUCGUCGUCAUCAUCAUCAUCAUCAUCAUCUCCUGCUCCAGCUCCAGAUCCCCCAGCCUCAGGAGCAUCACCAGACGGUGGAAUGAGUGGAUGUCGUGAAGUCGAUCUGGUAUAAGUAGUGUNCCAAAAGAGAGCUAAAUCCCUUCCAAUCCAAUCCAAAGAAGGGUUCUAAUCCAAAUAAUUUAGCUCCAAAAGCCCUAGAAUCAAAAUGCCCAAAAUAAGCCCUAAAUCUCCAAUCUAGGGCUUCAUCUUGAAUCCAUCAAUAAAACUCGAAUCGAGAGGGAGAGAAUAAGUAGAUUAUCUCUUAGAAGUUACAAUCCAACCUCUAAACUCUCUAAACGCCAAGAUCUCCCCCCAACAAUGCUCCAAAUCCAAGCCCUAAGCUGCAACAAUGGUGGAAAUGCCUCCAACAAGCAAAAAGAGAAGUUUAAUCUCUUUAAAACCCAACAAAAAAAGAUCAAAACCAAAGAGAGGCAAGGUGGGGUUUCUCUAACCUAGUCUCCCUGAGUUCUCAGCUCAAAAGAAGCCCUAGGGGGCGUAGGUGCUGAUAUAAGAAGCCCACAAUCGCGAAAAACCCCCUGCAGUUGAAACUGUACGAAAUCAGCCCCUUUGUACUGGUACACGGGCUCUUGUACCGGUACAAGCCCCACGAAAAUCACAACCCGACGCUCGGGUUGGCGGGUUCAGCGGCUCUGUACCUGUACAAGCCCCUGUACCGGUACAACCAUCAACCCUGUACCGGUACAAGGCCUGUUGAAAGCUACCCGAGGGCUAACCAAAAAUCCGAUUUUUCGGGUUUUGGUGCACAGCUUUAAACCUCACCUCUCGGGAUGCGAGCCAUAGGUCGGAACACUGUCUAUGACCUUCCAGAAAGUCUGAAAAAGCUCGACACNUGCUGAAAGCUACCCGAGGACUAACAAAAAAUCCGAUAUUUCGGGUUUUGGUGCACAGCUUUAAACCUCGAUUCUCGGGACGCGAGCCAUAGGUCGGAACACUGUCAACGACCCACCAGAAAGUCUGGAAAUGCUGAGCACACAACUAACCACUCGAACCUCGCAAUUUGCAAAGGUCCAGUGCGUUACAAAAACAAUCAUGUAAUUUUGGUGAAUGGCUAAAUGUAAAGAAUUAUGAAUGAAAGCAAAGAAAUGUAAUAGUUCAGUUUACUAGUAUUUGGUUUAAAUUUAAUCAAAUAUCAUGUAUGUGUAUAUUUUAGCUUAGAGCUUUCGCUUCCGUUGUUGCUUGCCCUCGUGCAAGCCUUGUAUAAUUGCAUAUCCCUUUGUUGAUUGCUUAAUUAUAUUUAUUGUUGGAGCCUUGGGCGGACAGGGGAAAUGCUGUCCGUUCGGCGUCUGUUGACGUGGCCCGAACCCGACCAAAUUGGCGGGGAUUGGGGCGUGACACUUGAGAAGAUGGGAAUGCGCGAUAUGGGUGAUUGGCUUUAGUGCAAGUGGGAGAUUGUUAGUUAUAUGCCCUAUAAGCCAAUCCUGUCAUAACUUAAAGGGUUAAUAUCAGUGUACUUUUCUUUUAUGAUUAAAUCUGGCAUUCUUCAUUCAUAUUAUUGCCAAAUGCAUAUUUAUGAAUCGUUCAUAGAAUUAAUAGUAGAAGAAUUAACUUUCUGAGUUAGAAAUUUGAGACAUAUAUUCUUCUGUAAUUAAUUCUUAAAUGCUCUCGAUCAUAGGAUUAUCAUGAGGGCGGUGGUAAAUCCGGAUAUAUUAGUGCAUGCUAUACUUCCUUUAUGAGAUGACGAGUCUCAAGUCAUUAGUGUUGAAAGUUUUGAGGAGCCCGAGGAUCUAUCUAGAUUGUAUCUAUCACCUAGAGGGGGGUGAAUAGGUGUAACGGCCAAAAACCACAAAUCUCGAUGCAAUAAAAAUAGAUGUGGAAAAUAAAAAGCACACCGAGAUUUACGUGGGAAAACUCCAACUUGGAGAAAAACCUACGGGACCAACACGCGAAAAAAUAAUUCACUAAGAGAAAAGAUUACAAGGUGAUUACCGACUCCACGGACUUAACCUCUCUUAACCUCCUAUGAAUCUUCGCGCUACCCUCUGGGUUAUCCACGCCCUCACGUCCGAAUCCACGAACACCUUCACUUCGAAUCCACGAAGCUUCAAUCACGCCGAAUCCACGACGCCACUCGAAUCCAUGAGCCCACGAUCCGAAUCCACGAACCGCCAUCAAAUACACCGAAUCCACAACGCCACCAUGAAGA